Molecule: long non-coding RNA, 2415 nt
Organism: Homo sapiens (human)
Lineage: Eukaryota; Metazoa; Chordata; Mammalia; Primates; Hominidae
Gene: TUSC7
Product: tumor suppressor candidate 7
Source: Ensembl
UGGAUCUAGAUCUUAAUAUAUUUUUGAGAAAAGCUAGAAAUGUGGAUUUUUAUAUCAAAUGUAUCCGUUUUUAAUGCUGGUGCAAUUUCUAAAAAUAAACAAAAACUGUAUGGGCCAAAUAAAAUAUAUACGCGAGCUGAAUUAGGCUAGUGGAUUACUAGUUUGAGAACUCUUAUUUAGAAAGAUCUGCCUCUGAGAAUUAGUGUUUCCUUCUUGACCAGGCAGAAUAUGGAUCUGUGUGUAUGUGCUUCUAUGUAUGUGAUUUAGCAAUUAACCAGUAAACCUGCCCCCUUCAAAAGACGCAUAUUGAUGAAAUCAUUUGUGACCUCACAGGAAUCACAAAUGAUGUUCCUAUGACGCCCUAGAUUGUUCUGUUACACAAGGGGUACCAAAGUCCACUCUGAGCUUUUCCUCUGGGAACAGAUCCCAGAUUAUUCCAGACUUAAGACAUGGAGAUAUAUCUUGCUAGAGGUAGGAAGAUGAUAAGAUCAGUUUCUAUAGGUAGAGGAUAAUGUGUCCUAAAAUGUAGGUAGAGAUAAGUCUGACAGUGGUUUAGACAAAAAGGGCCUCUGCUAAUGGUGGAGAGAUCAAGGAAGAAAAGAGCAACGUUAAAGUGAGGCUGUACCCACAGAUCAUGCUCAAGCAAAUUCGAACCGUGAGCGCAUUUCUCUUAAACAAUGAACACUUAGAAUAAAAAUUAAAAUUUCCCACAAAUUUCUAAUUUUAAAAUAGUUUCCCAAGAUUUCAGUGGUAUUGUAUAUAUGCCCAUAUAAUUUUUUGGAUUACUAUUCCCACAAGUGUAAGAUGAAAGAGGACCUGCCCUCCAUUCUAUCUACUCCCUCUCUGCAAAGGCCAUUUUGAAGAUCUCAGUUUUACUGAAAGGGGUCUGCCACACAUAACUUCCCUGGUGUACCAGCAACAAGUGUUCAGUGGACCAUGGCAACACAAAGAAUGACGGAGGAGAGAAAAUGCCAUGCAGAAGUGAUAGUCAAGAUGAAGAUGUGGGAGAGGAGCAGCCCCCAGUAUAUAUUCAGUGUGUCCUCUGAAGUAACAACCAUCCCAUCUGGCUGAGAAGUGAUGGACACGGCUCCUUAACCACACUGUACCCUCUGUUCUUGGCACCUCUCUACCAGAAAGAUAUCAACAAAUUGGAUGGAAUUCAGAGAACAUGACUUCCUAUUAUCCUUCUCAAAGUUAUUGCUGCAGAGGAAAGAAGCAUACAUCUUUUACCCACCAGGAAACCCCCAAAGCAUCUAUUACCAUAAUAGCCAUGGGAAACAGAAGGCACCUCAAAUAAAGGUGGGGAAAAGAAUGAAAGAAAUGGCUUUGGCCUGUGCCUGUUUGACCUCUGAGAGAUACUUUUUGCAAGAAAUUGUUAAGUUUUGGCCCAAAAAGUGGUCGGUCUUUUAUCCUUCCUUGUGGAGGCCAAACUGCAAACCAGGAUGAAGAAACCAUCAGUGGCAGUUUGGGGAGGUGGAGGAGGGACUAUCUAGACUCAGUGAAUCACCAAGGAAACAUGAGGCCUAUUUCUCUGUGAAGCUGAACUUCAAAAAACAAUCUAAGAGAUACAAAGGGAAAAGUGUGACUGCUCUGACAGCAAAAACAAGCAAAUAUCUCCAGAGGGGAUUAAUCCUUCUGCUUCAAAGUAACUAAAACAAAGAAAGCUGAGCCAGCUUCACUGGAAACAACACCUGUCCAUCAGACAAGGAUGAGCUAAUCAAAAGAAAACACUGCCUAUGUGCACGACUCAGCAGCCUGGACAGCUAAUACCAAGGAACACGUUUUCACUAUAAAGAUUCAGCUUUCAAAAUCCAGUUCCCUCUUGUAGAGCCACAGGGUUAAAAGGGACCUUAGAGAUCAUCUACAUACAGGCCAAACCCUCAAUGAAUGCCAGUGUUCGCCUUAUGUUCUUCUUGCCGGACUCUUUUCUGGCCUCUGUUCUGUCAGGAUGUUUCCUGUUUUGCAAAACAGCUUUAAUCCUUGAGUAUAUUUAAUUGUUAGAAAACAGUUCCUCAAAUUUGACCCCAAAUUUAAGUCUAAUUUAUGAAGAAAGUUUUGCCUUUGGAGACAGGUUUAAUUUUACUUCCAUGUGGAAAACCUUCAAAUAAAAUGAUGACUAUUGUGUACUCACGAACUAUCUCUUCUUCUCCCAGCUUAAUCAGGUCCUAUGGUGGUGUACAAAUGUUUCUACCACCUUAUUACCAUCUAGUUUUCAAUGGCUCUUUGAAAAUAUAUUGGCUAACUCUAAAUACAAGACUCCAGAUGUAAUCUAAUCAGUACAGAAUACAUUUGGAUUUUUACAUCCGACCAUCUGGAGGCUAUAUUUCUAUUAACUCAAGUAUAAGAUCUCUUUGCUUUCUGUCAUAAAUUGUGCCAACGAUCAAUGCUUGUUUUUACACAAACUGCAAUUAAGUU